UGGGCUAUAUUGUGAUAAAUUAACUAGUUAAAAGGCUUGACAUUUUCUGGCAGUGGUAAUUUCCAUGAAAUCUUUGUUAUGGAAGAUAUUAUCCCCCCAUUGCGAAGGAACAGGUAAUAAUUUUUAACUGUAAACUUGUUGGAGGAGCACCACUUCAAUUCUACCAUAUCAGCUACCAAUGGGAGUGUUACUAGGUUGAGAAGAUCUAUCAUGUCUUGGGUUAGGAUCAACA
This 232-nucleotide long non-coding RNA is filed under the name Elaeis guineensis (African oil palm). Its description in RNAcentral is "long non-coding RNA (EGUI_LNC024295)". Lineage: Eukaryota; Viridiplantae; Streptophyta; Magnoliopsida; Arecales; Arecaceae. The record is from RNAcentral.